AAUUUAGAAACAACACCAUUUUUGCGAACUACAUAUUUACAUACAUACAUUUCCUCAUAACUUUUGCUUUUAAACAUUUAAUUUCUCAUGAAAAAAUAUUACAAUUUCAAUUUCUCCCAACGCCUAUGCGCUUAUCGCACAACUUAUAGCUGACGCUUUCAAAUGUUUUUACAUCCAAAAAUGCAGCACGCCCGCAUUUAGCGCACCAAGGCGCCUAACCAUCAGUUGUGCUGUUUUUGUUGCUGUCUUCUUUUAUUUUAUUCUUUGAAUACGAUAAAAAUAUACAUAAUAAAAAAAAAAUAAAAGAAAAUAAAAUAAAUAUAAAAUUCAUCAAAACAAUAUUUGCGGCUUUUACAGUGAAAAUAUGAAUUGUUGCUCCAGGGUUUAGGGGCAACGGUAAAAAUUGGUGACGGCGGCGAUAUCGCUUUGCGGUUGCAUUUAGUGCUUACAAAAAGGCGAUAAGAAAUAUAAAAAUAAACAAAAAACAACAAAACAAUGGGGGGUGGGGGGUUAGGGACCGCUGCAUCGGGCUGCAAUUGCGCCAGCGAUCGCCAACGAUCAGUGGCGCUUUGUGGCUCGCUGGCUGGUUGGCCGAUGAUGGCAUUUAGCUGGCGGCUGCUUGACUUUUGCUGGCGACUGGUGGUGGCGGCCAUUUGGUUGGUGAUGACUACUGAGCUAGCUGGCUGGCUGCCUGGUGGCUAGAAACCCGAAGUGCACUGAACGAAUAAGAGCGCGCGCGCAUCCAACAAAGUAAAGUCGGUGACGUCGUGUUUUGAUAUUGACUUUGAAGCAGUCCGAAAGUUAAGAGCAUAAUCGAGCAAAAGUAAA
Long non-coding RNA from Rhagoletis zephyria (snowberry fruit fly), 828 nucleotides. RefSeq lists it as uncharacterized. NCBI's taxonomy places the organism in Eukaryota, Metazoa, Arthropoda, Insecta, Diptera, Tephritidae. The record is from RefSeq and is a predicted model, not a curated record.